UUACAUUGACGAGGGGGCCCAGCAGCACACACUGUCUUCCUUUCCAGCUCCUCUCUGACUAACUCUCGCGAGACAGGUCUGCCUGCUGUGCGGAGCGUUGACAUGGUUAGACAGAGAGCAGCUGGAAAGGAGGACAGAGUGUGCUGCUCGGCCCCCUCUUCAAUGUAC
Pelobates cultripes (western spadefoot toad) is the source of this 168-nucleotide non-coding RNA. NCBI's taxonomy places the organism in Eukaryota, Metazoa, Chordata, Amphibia, Anura, Pelobatidae. The record is from the annotation of a GenBank genome assembly.